Molecule: ribosomal RNA, 316 nt
Filed under: uncultured bacterium
Lineage: Bacteria
Description: bacterial SSU rRNA
Rfam family: Bacterial small subunit ribosomal RNA
Source: RNAcentral
AGUGAACGCUGGCGGCAGGCCUAACACAUGCAAGUCGAGCGGCAGCGCGGGGGCAACCCUGGCGGCGAGCGGCGGACGGGUGAGGAAUUCGUCGGAAUCUGCCUUUUUGUGGGGGAUAACGUAGGGAAACUUACGCUAAUACCGCAUACGACCUACGGGUGAAAGUGGGGGACCGCAAGGCCUCACGCAGAAAGAUGAGCCGACGACCGAUUAGCUAGUUGGUGGGGUAAAGGCCCACCAAGGCGACGAUCGGUAGCUGGUCUGAGAGGAUGAUCAGCCACACUGGGACUGAGACACGGCCCAGACUCCUACGGGA